This 204-nucleotide long non-coding RNA is filed under the name Homo sapiens (human). Its description in RNAcentral is "non-protein coding lnc-ZNF157-3:1". Lineage: Eukaryota; Metazoa; Chordata; Mammalia; Primates; Hominidae. The record is from RNAcentral.
AGGUGGAAAAUGUCUCAUCUGAAUAGACAGAGCACAGAAUAAACAGAUUCAGGGAGGACUAUCAGAUAUGGUCAACAUUAAGAAAAUAUUAAAAAUGGAGUUGAGCAGAGGUUACAGAAAAUAUACAGAUACGAGUUGAACUGGAAAUAUGUGGCCAUGUUGUUUAUUUCUUUGAAAGAAGAGUUUAAUUGUCAUAUACUAGGU